This 465-nucleotide ribosomal RNA is filed under the name uncultured Klebsiella sp. RNAcentral's name for it is "bacterial SSU rRNA". It matches the Rfam family "Bacterial small subunit ribosomal RNA", at positions 338 to 795 of the family's 1533-position model. Lineage: Bacteria; Pseudomonadati; Pseudomonadota; Gammaproteobacteria; Enterobacterales; Enterobacteriaceae. The record is from RNAcentral.
CCUACGGGGGGCUGCAGUGGGGAAUAUUGCACAAUGGGCGCAAGCCUGAUGCAGCCAUGCCGCGUGUGUGAAGAAGGCCUUCGGGUUGUAAAGCACUUUCAGCGGGGAGGAAGGCGGUGAGGUUAAUAACCUCAUCGAUUGACGUUACCCGCAGAAGAAGCACCGGCUAACUCCGUGCUAGCAGCCGCGGUAAUACGGAGGGUGCAAGCGUUAAUCGGAAUUACUGGGCGUAAAGCGCACGCAGGCGGUCUGUCAAGUCGGAUGUGAAAUCCCCGGGCUCAACCUGGGAACUGCAUUCGAAACUGGCAGGCUAGAGUCUUGUAGAGGGGGGUAGAAUUCCAGGUGUAGCGGUGAAAUGCGUAGAGAUCUGGAGGAAUACCGGUGGCGAAGGCGGCCCCCUGGACAAAGACUGACGCUCAGGUGCGAAAGCGUGGGGAGCAAACAGGAUUAGAUACCCUAGUAGUC